Stegostoma tigrinum is the source of this 405-nucleotide long non-coding RNA. RefSeq lists it as uncharacterized. Lineage: Eukaryota; Metazoa; Chordata; Chondrichthyes; Orectolobiformes; Stegostomatidae. The transcript is spliced from 2 exons. The record is from RefSeq and is a predicted model, not a curated record.
UUGUUUUUCUUCUCCAGUAUAAAAACUUACCUCGUGCUGCAGCAGCCCUCUUGUUUCCAGCGGUGGGUGUGUGGAGAGAAUGCAAGCCAGGAAGGAACUGAUAUAUUCGGGCAUUGGCUAAACCCGAAACACUACACGUGUAGGGUCUCCCACCCAUCCUCCUCCUCUAACGAAAAAAGAAAAAGCUGUGUGGAGGGUUGGUAAGGACCUGAGUAAACAUCUCAAAAUUUAUCCAAAUCUGAUGUAUUUUCAUUGAUGAAUUUCCUGUGGAACACUGCAUCUUCCCACUGGUGGCGGCAUCAUUUACUUUGCUUCUGUCAGGACUGAACAGUCAAAAAGAUAUUAUUAUGUGUACUAAUGAAGGCAAGUCAAAUUCCAACAUGAAUAAAUUGUUGUGAGAGGUAA